This is a long non-coding RNA of Apis cerana (Asiatic honeybee), 3305 nucleotides long. RefSeq lists it as uncharacterized. The record is from RefSeq and is a predicted model, not a curated record. NCBI's taxonomy places the organism in Eukaryota, Metazoa, Arthropoda, Insecta, Hymenoptera, Apidae.
AUAACAACUGUAGAGAUAGAAAGACAGUUUAUAUAACGGAAUAUAUUUCGUCAGUAUUUUAUCCAUCAAUUUUCAUCGGAAAAAGAAAGAUUUUUAAAAAUUACUUAUUCGAUUGUGAACAUGUUUUUUUCAUUGAAAAAAUUUCUUUCCGAUUUUUGAAUUAUAUCAUUCUUCUCUUUAUUAGUCAAUUAAAUUAAAAGUACAGUGAAAUCUUUGUAAUUCUUGAAGAACAUAUACAAAUAUGGAAUAUAGCGUUUCUUAAAAAUUAAUGAAAAAAAAUUAAUCUUGAUCUCGAAUCGAGGCUUGAUUUCACUAAAAAGUUGCGAAAAUGGCGGAAAGCAUGGAUCAUAUAAUGACGAACGCUUUGACACGGAUACGAUGAAUAUUGGAUUUGACUAUACACAAAAAAACCAAGAUUUUCUCUUGCGCACAAUUCAACAACGCGAAUAUAUCAUGAAAUUAACCUUUGUCUUCGUUUCACCUCGCUUCCUUCUCGCAAUACUUUCGCAGUACCCGAGGUAUUUACGGGGGUAUAACGCGCCUCGUAUUAUUUUCGACUUGAGGUGAUUUGAAGGCUAUUUCAGUAGCGAAACGUCAACUCGUUUGCCCGCUUAUCGUUUGAUCCCAACUGCUUUUGUUUCUCUUCUCCCUCUUCUGUUCUCGCCCAAGAAAAUAUCCCCCUUUUGAUACACGAAACAGCGUUGACGAGGCUAACCCGAGUUGGUGCUAAGUCCACUCUUCAUCGCGCUUGUCAUUGACCCUCGACUAAUUCGAGGCUGCGAAAAUAAAUGCGCGGCGAAUACGCCGCCGCGCGGGACAAAGAGACAGUCAAAUGUGCUCGAGAAGCAACGAACGGCCGGCCAUUUUGGAAAAUAGGGCGCGCGAAAUUUGGACGACGACGCCCAGAGAUGGAACAAUUCCGUGGAAAUUGGCCGAGGCAGGGAAAACAUUGAUUCACACGCCAAGAGAUCGUGCGAGCUCUUUUCGGAAUCGGCCGUUUCUUCGUCAGAAAGCUUUGUCAGCUUUGCUCGUUUCUACGAACAAAGGAUUAAUCGUCGGGGAGAAUAUUUCAUAGAAUCGCGGCCAUAGCAAUUUUAGAUCCGAAGAGAAAUGCGUCGCGAAGGACGGACGGAUAUCGAUGUGGAAAUUUAAUAUACACAUUGAUCGAGGACUUAACACGGUUAUGGAGAAUGGAAGGUAUGCGGCCGUUGUUCAAGAUCCAACAAUAAUCUCUCGCGGGUUACGAGGGAAACCUCUCCCCCCCUCCUGCCUUCGAUGCGACGACAACGACGUCUACGACGCGACGACGACUCAAUACACACGGCCACGACCGAUCGUGGCAGACCGCGAAAUCAGACGACGCUAAUUGCGAAUACCAAAUGUCCAAAUUAUUUGCGAUUCGACGAAUAUUAAUUCACUCUUGUCUCGAUUUGCGCGAGCGAAUAUCGAAAUAUAUAUUAAAUUGUAAUAAAAAACGACGAUCUGACGAUUCUUUCGUAAUGAAAUUAUCAUAGGUGUCUUUUCGAAUUAGCAAUGUAUGUUUUAAAAAUAGUUGUAACAUGUACUAUUUCGAACCGUUCGAGCAAAAUUAUUGGCUCAAAUUUAUCAUUUCAUUUUUCACGAGAAUGAAUAGUUUUCAAAAUUAAAAAUAAUUCAAGAAUAAUUCGCCACAUUCGUUUGGAUAAUUAAAUGAUUAAUAAUUUGUUUUUUAAAAUGCUACUCGUGAAACAUAAAAAAUCUUCAUUUCUAUGAAAAAUAAUGAUGAUUUUUUUCAAAUUUUCUAAGUGAUGAUAUAUUCUGAUAUUUGUUACAGUUUAUUGUAUAUUUAAAAAAGGGAAAAAUUGGUAAAAGGAAUGAGUAUUUAUAAUAUUGACAAAACAUUCUAAUCUAAUCGAAUAAUUAAACGACCCAAUACCUAAUCAAUAACUAUUUUUGAUCGUUACAUUGAUCGACGAUAAUAAUUUCAAUUUUGUAAUUUUUCAAUUUUUAAUAUUUGAUUCGAUUAAAAUAUUUCAUAAUUUUACAAUAGAGAAUGAACAAGAGCGUUUCAAAGAUGGUACAUACAUUACAUGAUGGGACGACAUGACCAAAUCAAAUUCUGUAUGUGCAAUAUUGAUACUAUUAUCAUGAGCCUUUGACAGUAAGUGAUAUGUCGAUAUAGAUAUCGAUUGUAUAAACAGUCUUAAGUGCAUAUACAAUGGCGUGUGAUCAGAGGUAAAGUUAAUGUAUGGACAAGUAUGAUAAACUAACCAAACAUUAAUUUAUAUAAAGAUAUCAAACGAUAAAUUUAUCGAUAAAUUUAAAAUUUUUUAAAUUUAAUUCAUUUUAAUUUUGGAAAAUUUAAAAUUUCGAAAGAAAAAUAUGAUUAAGAUUAUAAUACGAUCAGUUCUACGUCUAAAAAAAGGAGAUUCCAAAUAAAUAUCACAAACGAUAAUAAUCACUUUGUUAAGUUUUAUAUACUUCAAAUUAUACUUUAAAAUAUAUCUUCGUGAAAUUUUUCUCAAUAUAAGCAUAUAAAUAUAAAUAUAUGUUUCUAUUGCCAAUUAACAUUCGAUUCAAUUUUUCUGAUUCUUACACUACAAUUCUUUUUUUUCUACGAUCUAUUUCACGAUAAAUGAUGAUUUCAUCGAUUAAAAUAAAAGUGGAAACAAACACAAGUCUGAAAAAUUUUAUUCAGCCGAAAAAUCCGCAUAAUUCACAAAUUUUUCUUCGUUAUGUAGAUAAUCGUAUUUUUUAUCCUAUCCAAUCGCAAAUUGAUCAGUUACAAGAAGCUUAUAAAUACGAGAACCGAUUAAAACGAUAUCGAGAAUGUUCCAAUAUGGAUAAAAUACAGCUAAGUCAUAUGAGAAAAAAGCAAAUUUUUUCCUCUGUGAGAGAUACUACCAUAUAAAUAUGAAAAUUGUAAGUCUGGCGAUAUGUUCGAAUCAAGAUUGAAAUUAUGUAUUUGUCAUUUUUCCCCUAUCAUUUUCGAACAUAGUCAAUGUUGCGUUCGUGGCAAUGUACUUAUAGCAUAUAAGUAAUCAGCCAUCGUGCCAACAAACUCAACAUCAAAUAAAUCCGUCAUGUAAGGAUAUUGAUUGGACGUUGAGGUUAUGUAAAAUGGACUACCAUGCAAGUCACGAAGUUUGUCUUGGAAGAAAUGAAACAAUCCCUCCUGAACGGCAAAACUCUUUGGUGUAUCGAUUGGUCGAACUGGUAAAUGAUUACACACAGCUCUACGGAAUCUGCACAAUAUGUAACUUGUAAAAUUGUCGAGUGAAGAAUUUUGGAUCCUCAUAAAAAAAAUAAAAAUUCAUUGAAAUCAA